RNAcentral lists this long non-coding RNA (792 nucleotides) under Papio anubis (olive baboon). RNAcentral describes it as "lncRNA (ENSPANG00000048725.1)". Lineage: Eukaryota; Metazoa; Chordata; Mammalia; Primates; Cercopithecidae. The record is from RNAcentral.
AGGGGAUUUAUUAUGGGAAUUGGCUCUUGUGAUUAUGGAGACUUGACAAAUCCAGUGAUAAGUUGUCUGAAAACUGAAGAACCAGUAAAAGUGGAAGUAUAAUUCAGUUUUAGUUCAAAGACCUGGGAACAAGGACCCUGAUGAUGUCAGUCCUGAUCGAAGAGUAAAGGCCUAAGAAUAAGGAGCAAUAAUGGUGUACAUUCCAGAGUCCAAAGAGCUGAGAAUGUGGAGCUCUGAGGUCUGAGGAUUAAAGAAAAUGGAUGUUCUAGCUACAGAAGUGAUAGUAAUUUUUUUCCAUCUUUUGUUGCAUUUGGACCCUCAGCUGGUUGAAUGAUGCCACCCAUAUUGAGGAAUGGGUCCCAGGUUCUCAAGAAAGGCAGCCUUGACUUGUAAAGCAUGAACAUGAUUAUAAAAAUAUGUACAUCUCAAAGGAGCAGAGAAAGAAUGUGCAAUUACAAGUUUUCUAAAGGAAAUGCUGUAAGAGGGAGAAGAGGGACUGCUGUGGUCAUUUGGAUUCUGUCUAGACCAGGCAUAAUCUAAACAGAAGUUUAGCAGCAAAUAAGUUGGGAAGCAGUGAGCAAGAAGACAGAUGAAAGCAGAAUAAUCAGGAGCUGUUUAUUCAUUGCAGCCUUCCAGCCUGAAGCAACAUGAUAAAAAUUUGCAUAUAUAAAAUUUAGAUUAAAAACUCACAAAUGAGUAUGUUACAUAUGAUUCUAUUUAUAUAAAAUUUAUAAAAAGACAGAUUCAUGGUCUUGGAAAUUAAUAUGGUGAUUGUAGUGAGGUGAAUGGUGG